GGCUUAGCUCAGUGCUGCAACUUCCAGCAGCAGAGGAGGGGUUGAGUGGCAGACCCAGGUAAUUUGUUUGAAAUCAGUUUGACUACUUAAUCAUGGGAGGGCAUAAGGGCUCUCAUGUCACCAUAACCACUACAUGAAAAUACAGUGGUUAUGGUACUUGGAGUGUCCUUUUAGUGUGUAUAUUAUCCUAGAAAAUUGUACUCUUUUGGAAUCUGCAUUGUUAUUUAUGCUCAACGUUUCUUAGAAACAAAUGUAGAACACUUAACAUUUCUUUGGACGUCACAGGCUCAAUAAAUAGCGUUACAUAUAGUUUAUAUCACGAAUACCAUAGAGUACCAUAGAGUAGAUCAGACAAUGUUUCUUCUAGUUGCAAAUAAUGUAACAAAACAAGUUGAUCUACUGUGUAGACCAUGCAAAAAAUUUUUUAAAUAGCCAUUAUUCCCAUUUAUCAUUUUAUGUAAGAAACUUUUUUUAACCACAAUAAGCAUCAAAACAACAAAUUAAUGUGGAGUGGUUUAAAAGUGCAAAGCAGGCAUCAUCACCCUUGGAAACUCUGACACAGAAAAGGUUAGCUUAACAAUGACCUAGCUUGUUUGAUUAAAAAUCUAGCAAGGUUUUACUGGAUUUCAGUAAUGAGGGCCAAUCAAUACAUUGGGCAGAAAGACCUUGAGCUUGGCUAAUUCUUCCACUAGCAGAAAAUUAUUUCUUUAAAUUAAUUUCUUCUAUUGAGCAGUUGAACAGUGAAGAUGAAAAACACAGCUUAAAGGGACACUCCAGGCACCCAGACCACUUCUGCCAAUUGGAG
Non-coding RNA from Pelobates cultripes (western spadefoot toad), 805 nucleotides. The record is from the annotation of a GenBank genome assembly. Lineage: Eukaryota; Metazoa; Chordata; Amphibia; Anura; Pelobatidae.